UCGAUUAGAGCUGUGACAGAGUAUAUAGAUUGGUUUGGUAAGUUGAGGUGAUACCAUUGCAGGGUUGGUCUCGUCAAAAUUGAGCUGAUACCCUUGCACAUGGUUGUCUGGAUCACUGGUUCCAUCGCACAUUCUCAUAUUCAGGAAAGCAAAUUUUCUCGGCAUCUUAAUCAAAGACAUCUUGCCCAUGAAAGAAGUGUCAGCGUAGGAAUCAGGAGGACUUCUUCUAAUGUGAGGGGUGACACCAGGAAACCUUUUAUCAUUGAUCGGAAUGCUUCAAAUUUCUUAAAGAAGAAUUCUUCCAAGUAAACCAUUUUUUCUGAUUUCUUGACCGCAGCUGAUUCCUGCAUCUCCAUAUCUGUAUCCGAGUUGGAAUCAUCAUCAUCUUCAGUCGUGUUAACAUGGUUUUUGACCGCAACACCGGUCCUUUCAUCCGGUUCUGUAUUCAGUUGUUGUGCCAAUCGAGUCGCGUUAUCCCGUCCAAAAUGAGUAUCUAGAAGCUGCAUAGGUCAAACACAGAUUUGGAACCUUCUCCAUUUCUUUCCUACAGUGUUUAGGGGUGAUUUUUCCUUUUUAAAAACUAAGUUCUCGGCUUUGAGCUGUGAUAGCUUCUCUAGCUCUACUCCAACUAUUUGGAGCAUUUUUCCAUCCUCUCUUUUAUGGUUUGGACCUCUGAGAUGAUUUUGGGAUUAUCCGCGGGGUGUUAUUAAUUUCUUGGCAUGUGCUCAUCUCAUGAUUUGCCUCUACAUGGCCUUAAUCUAGACUCGCAACUCGUUGUCGGCCGAAAAGGCUAAAGCUUGCUCAUGCUUAUUUCUAGUCAUCGUCAU
This 827-nucleotide long non-coding RNA is filed under the name Brassica napus (rape). RNAcentral describes it as "long non-coding RNA (BNAP_LNC004192)". The record is from RNAcentral. Lineage: Eukaryota; Viridiplantae; Streptophyta; Magnoliopsida; Brassicales; Brassicaceae.